GACGAACGCUGGCGGCGUGCUUAACACAUGCAAGUCGAACGGAAAGGCCUGCUUUCCCUUGUGGAUUGCGGGUACUCGAGUGGCGAACGGGUGAGUAACACGUGAGUGAUCUGCCCCCAACUUGGGUAUAAGCCUGGGAAACUGGGUCUAAUUCCCGAUAGGACUGCAGGGUGGUGCCUGUGGUGGAAAACGAUUUUCUAGUGGUUGGGGAUGAGCUCGCGGCCUAUCAGCUUGUUGGUGGGGUAAUGGCCUACCAAGGCGGCGACGGGUAGCCGGCCUGAGAGGGUGGACGGCCACAUUGGGACUGAGAUACGGCCCAGACUCCUACGGAAGGCAGCAGUGGGGAAUAUUGCACAAUGGGCGGAAGCCUGAUGCAGCGACGCCGCGUGGGGGAUGACGGCCUUCGGGUUGUAAACUCCUUUCGACCGCGAGGAAGCCACCUGGUUGGAAGGGUGGUGACGGUAGUGGUAGAAGAAGCACCGGCUAACUACGUG
Molecule: ribosomal RNA, 494 nt
Filed under: uncultured bacterium
Lineage: Bacteria
Description: partial 16S ribosomal RNA
Rfam family: Bacterial small subunit ribosomal RNA
Source: RNAcentral